GCCCGGAUGGUGAAACUGGUAGACACAGCAGACUCAAAAUCUGCCGCUUCGCGGCGUGCCGGUUCGAUUCCGGCUCUGGGCACCA
Molecule: transfer RNA, 85 nt
Filed under: Massilia sp.
Lineage: Bacteria; Pseudomonadati; Pseudomonadota; Betaproteobacteria; Burkholderiales; Oxalobacteraceae
Also listed under: 1 other name
Description: tRNA-Leu
Rfam family: tRNA
About the family: Transfer RNA (tRNA) molecules are approximately 80 nucleotides in length. Their secondary structure includes four short double-helical elements and three loops (D, anti-codon, and T loops). Further hydrogen bonds mediate the characteristic L-shaped molecular structure. tRNAs have two regions of fundamental functional importance: the anti-codon, which is responsible for specific mRNA codon recognition, and the 3' end, to which the tRNAs corresponding amino acid is attached (by aminoacyl-tRNA synthetases). tRNAs cope with the degeneracy of the genetic code in two manners: having more than one tRNA (with a specific anti-codon) for a particular amino acid; and 'wobble' base-pairing, i.e. permitting non-standard base-pairing at the 3rd anti-codon position.
Source: RNAcentral